This 62-nucleotide transfer RNA is filed under the name Ellobium chinense. Its description in RNAcentral is "tRNA-Tyr". Lineage: Eukaryota; Metazoa; Mollusca; Gastropoda; Ellobiida; Ellobiidae. The record is from RNAcentral.
UUUUGGUGGCUGAAUUUUAGGCGGUAGGUUGUAAACCUACUUAUGGUGCUUCACCCCGGGGC